AUCUUGUAGCCUUAUUUAGUGGGACCAACUCCCGGAUGGUCUAGAGAAACCCGCCUUGUGAUCUGACCUAGCGGAACCCGCCUUGUGGUCUUGUUUAGUGGGACUAACGCCCGGAUGGUCUGACAAAAUUCGUCUUGUGACCUGACCUGGCGAAUCCCACCUUGUGACCUUGUUUACUGGGACUAACGCUUGGAUGGUCUAGCGGAACUCACCUUAUGAUUUGGCCUACUAGAACCCGCCUUGUGGCCCUUUUUAGUGGGAUCAACGCCCGGAUAGUCUGGCGGAACCCUCUUGUGACCUGGCCUGGCGGAACCCACCUUAUGGCCUCUUCUUAUCUCCUUAAUCUUGUUCCUUAUUACUAACAAC
Molecule: long non-coding RNA, 366 nt
Filed under: Manihot esculenta (cassava)
Lineage: Eukaryota; Viridiplantae; Streptophyta; Magnoliopsida; Malpighiales; Euphorbiaceae
Description: long non-coding RNA (MESC_LNC000952)
Source: RNAcentral